UAGGGAAUCUUCGGCAAUGGACGAAAGUCUGACCGAGCAACGCCGCGUGAGUGAAGAAGGUUCUCGGAUCGUAAAACUCUGUUGUUAGAGAAGAACAAGGACGUUAGUAACUGAACGUCCCCUGACGGUAUCUAACCAGAAAGCCACGGCUAACUACGUGCCAGCAGCCGCGGUAAUACGUAGGUGGCAAGCGUUGUCCGGAUUUAUUGGGCGUAAAGCGAGCGCAGGCGGUUUCUUAAGUCUGAUGUGAAAGCCCCCGGCUCAACCGGGGAGGGUCAUUGGAAACUGGGAGACUUGAGUGCAGAAGAGGAGAGUGGAAUUCCAUGUGUAGCGGUGAAAUGCGUAGAUAUAUGGAGGAACACCAGUGGCGAAGGCGGCUCUCUGGUCUGUAACUGACGCUGAGGAUCGAAAGCGUGGGGAGCAAACAGG
Molecule: ribosomal RNA, 429 nt
Filed under: Gemmatimonadota bacterium
Lineage: Bacteria; Pseudomonadati; Gemmatimonadota
Description: Gemmatimonadetes bacterium partial 16S ribosomal RNA
Rfam family: Bacterial small subunit ribosomal RNA
Source: RNAcentral